RNAcentral lists this ribosomal RNA (332 nucleotides) under uncultured eukaryote. RNAcentral describes it as "partial 18S ribosomal RNA". It matches the Rfam family "Eukaryotic small subunit ribosomal RNA", at positions 1470 to 1796 of the family's 1831-position model. The record is from RNAcentral.
CCCUUAGAUGUUCUGGGCCGCACGCGCGCUACACUGUUCGACGCAGCGAGUCUUAACCUUGACCGAAAGGUUUGGGUAAUCUUCAGCAAAGUCGAACGUGAUGGGGAUCGAUCAUUGCAAUUAUUGAUCGUGAACGAGGAAUUCCUAGUAAGUGCAAGUCAUCAGCUUGCGCUGAUUACGUUCCUGCCCUUUGUACACACCGCCCGUCGCUACUACCGAUUGAAUGGUUUAGUGAGAUCUCUGGAUUGACGCUGGCUAGGGGGCGACCCUUGGCCAGACUGCUCGAGAAACUGCUCAAACUUGAUCAUUUAGAGGAAGUAAAAGUCGUAACA